UUUACCGUAAAGAGGGGGAGCCUAAGGUAGGACUGGUGACUGGGGUGAAGUCGUAACAAGGUAGCCGUACCGGAAGGUGUGGCUGGAUCACCUCCUUUUAGGGAGACCUACCCAUUGAAGAAUCGAAAGCCGAAGGCGAAUAGAGAAUCAAAUGGUCUACUCUAGGUCGGUCGAGAAUUGGUCAAGUCUCUUUCAAAGUAUUAUAUUUCCGGUGAUUCCCAGCAACUAGGAAAGACCUAGACUGCUGGUGAGAACCAGCCAGAACCUUGAAAAAA
RNAcentral lists this unclassified non-coding RNA (275 nucleotides) under Raphidiopsis mediterranea CHAB1355. RNAcentral's name for it is "partial contains 16S ribosomal RNA and 16S-23S ribosomal RNA intergenic spacer". The stretch from base 1 to 98 matches the Rfam family "Bacterial small subunit ribosomal RNA", at positions 1435 to 1533 of the family's 1533-position model. The record is from RNAcentral. Lineage: Bacteria; Bacillati; Cyanobacteriota; Cyanophyceae; Nostocales; Aphanizomenonaceae.